GCCGGGAUAGGGUAGCGGUUAUCCUGCGAGACUGUGGAUCUUGCGACUCGAGUUCAAAUCUCGGUCCCGGCC
Molecule: transfer RNA, 72 nt
Filed under: Candidatus Altarchaeales archaeon
Lineage: Archaea; Nanobdellati; Candidatus Altarchaeota; Candidatus Altarchaeia; Candidatus Altarchaeales
Also listed under: 1 other name
Description: tRNA-His
Rfam family: tRNA
About the family: Transfer RNA (tRNA) molecules are approximately 80 nucleotides in length. Their secondary structure includes four short double-helical elements and three loops (D, anti-codon, and T loops).
Source: RNAcentral